Molecule: long non-coding RNA, 1881 nt
Organism: Diceros bicornis minor
Lineage: Eukaryota; Metazoa; Chordata; Mammalia; Perissodactyla; Rhinocerotidae
Exons: 7
Source: RefSeq, a predicted model, not a curated record
GCAGUCAUUUAUUAUUUCUCCUACGUCAGCAGGUCGCCUGGAGGUUGGCUCUAAGCUUGGCUCAGCUGGGAUGGUUCUGCUCCACAUGUCUUUCAUCUGCCUUUGGCCAGUGGAUAACCAAGGCUUAUUCUCGCAGCAGUGGCUGAGAGCAUGCCCCAGUUCACUGAAGUCCCCAGAAUGAGGCAUUCAGUACAGACCGGAACCACCUGGCCACUUGAAGCCAAACCCACCUGAGCCCAAAAGAGAUCAGCCAAUCUGCAGAUUUGCAUGAGGGAGCCCAAAGGGAUGGGUGACAUCGUAACUUCCAAUUCAGUGGAAUCAUUGUUGAGUCUCCUGGUGGAAGCAUUCUUCGCUUUGAAACUAAGACCUCUAGGCCAGCAGAGCAUAAGGCCGUGGGAAGAGGAAGCAAAUUUUGCUAGUGGGUCACUAGAGGGGGAACCAGAUGCAACAACUUAUUCUUCACCUGAGAAGGAAUAUCUUGACAUGCCCUAUACCAAUGGACUCCUAGAAAUUUCAUUGAGGUCCAAUCAACAUAAUGUCAUCAAUGUAACAGACCAAUGUGAUAUCUUGUGGAAGGGAAAGGCAAUCAAGAUCCCUUCGAACUGAAUUAUGACAUAGAGCUGGAGAGUUGAUUUACCCCUUGGGUAGGACAGUGAAGGUAUAUUGCUGGCCUUGCCAGCUGAAAGCAAACUUCCUCUGGUGGUCCUUAUUGAUUUGCAUGGAGAAACAAGUGUGCAUACCAGGUAAAAGGGGAUGUGUUAAUUUGCUCAAACAAUGAAAUCACACCUGGUACAACAGCUGUACUUGGAGUCACCACCUGGCUGAACUUAUGAUAAUCCACUGUCAUUUUCCAAGAUCCAUCCUUCUUCUACAUAGACAAAAUAGCUUCCUGACUCAAUCAUCUUCCUCUGCAUUGAGCCAAUGGCUAAGAUGAUGAUGAUGAGAAGAAAGAGAAGGAGGAGGAGGAGUUAACCUGAGCGAUAGCAUGUGUCAAGUAGGCAUUUUCCUGAGGGUUGUCUGUCAGAAGACUGAUCUUGUGGGUGGUCUGCCAUACUGAAUUUUGGAUCUAAGAUCUCAGCUCCAAGGCCUUCAUCCUCCAUAAUGCCAGCAGACGGUACAGUCCAUCAACGCCUAAUUACUUCCUGGUAGUUUGAACCCACAAUCUUUUUUGGUUUGGUACCAGAAUCAACUUCAGAAGACAUUGAAGAAAGAAUGUCUGGAAUUGGGAACCUAAAUAUGUGGACUUUGCUUUGGGAGGUGAUUGAUCAGAAGAACAUUUGUUAUCCACAGUGUGCUUACAGAGGACAACUUUGAGAAGGAGAGGCUUUUUGACCUCAUGGCCACCAUUGUGGCCCACUGAAGCUUCUGCCCUGAUUGCUUUUUACUUUACUGUUUUUAACAAGAAUUUGAGGUGGAAACCUAUUAAUUAAAAAGGUAUAGUCCUUUUAACUAUCAAUUGGCUGUACUCUAACCACGGUGUUCCCAAGCGCAGUUGAAGCUGAAGAUUCUGCCGAGCUGAAUCCAUCUUAAACUAACUCAGGGGAAAACCUGAAAUAAUGGGAGGGAAUGUUUCCGCAAAUGGCCUUUUAAAACAAAGAAAAUAUUUUUUAAAAUAAUGGUGAAAUACAAGAGCACCCCUAGUUUUUGCCUCUCUCCAAAAAAUUUAUAGUCCUGUAGAACAGGUUGUAAAAAUGGCUAGUUGAAAUUAAGGACUAUAAAUGGGCUUAAAUUAUUUUAUCUUCCUCUUAAGAGGAAAUCAAUCUUAACAAAUUUAACGUUCUAAUUAUCAUCACAACUCCCACAAAAACAAAAGCUAUGUAAAUCCAGGUAGUAGGCAAAAGCAGAGAAGUAGUGGUAUGUAGAUGACAACUUUCUCCUUCC